GGAAGCGUGCCUGAGAACAUAAGGACUACCUUGAUAGAGUAGACACGGGAACCAUCAAACCCCACUUCCC
RNAcentral lists this transfer RNA (70 nucleotides) under Gloydius himalayanus. RNAcentral describes it as "tRNA-Ile". Lineage: Eukaryota; Metazoa; Chordata; Lepidosauria; Squamata; Viperidae. The record is from RNAcentral.